GGUAGUGAUGGCUCAGUGGUUAAGGCAUUGGAUUACUAAUCAGACACCCGUGAGUUCAAAUCCCAGCACCACUG
This is a non-coding RNA of Pangasianodon gigas (Mekong giant catfish), 74 nucleotides long. The record is from the annotation of a GenBank genome assembly. Lineage: Eukaryota; Metazoa; Chordata; Actinopteri; Siluriformes; Pangasiidae.